Molecule: long non-coding RNA, 697 nt
Organism: Podarcis raffonei (Aeolian wall lizard)
Lineage: Eukaryota; Metazoa; Chordata; Lepidosauria; Squamata; Lacertidae
Exons: 2
Source: RefSeq, a predicted model, not a curated record
UGUGGAUGAAUCUUGUCACUUUCACUUUUUACAAUAAAAUACUACAAAAGAUUAAAUUAUGCUUUGAAAUUGUGGUGUGGUAGAACACUGAUUCACACACAUGUGGAGAUGAGUGUUGCUGAAUUUGAUAGAGGUUUGCUUUGAAGUACAUGUUCCCUUGACUUCUAAAGGACACCUUGGUAUCUUGAACAAUCUGUUUAAAAUGCUGGUCAAAAAUCUCUUUUAAAUAGUGACUCGUCCCUUGUAACACUUCUUCUAACAUAACAUUUAGUUCCCAUCCUGCUCUUCUCUUGUUUCCUUCGGUUUUGCUUGCACUGACAAAACCUCCUGAACUGAGAUUUGAGGCUAAGGUUGAAAGGUGCCGGGUUAACCCUUUUAUUGCUGUAACUACCCCUACAUUCAGAAGUUUAACGCUAUCUGUGGUAAAAUGUGGUCUUGUCUUGCAAAUUAAUUCAUCGUAAUGAAGUUCAUCAUGGUUUUGAAGCACUGGUGCAGUUCCUGUAUGCAUAUGUUCUGCUCUGAGUUCCUGGUUCUCUGGCAACUCUGAAUGGAAAGAUUUUUCAGAGAACUAAUUUUAGCUCUGCUGCUGGUUUUUCCACAGGAGGGCAUGGUUUGGUUUUGCAGCGCCUGGGAAACAGUAAAACCAGAAGUAUUAGUUCUGUCCAUAUGGAGAUCCACGAAAAAUUGCAUACCUCAA